AAUGAUGGUAUCUCAGAGGAAGCUGCUCGUGCAGUUUGUGAGCUAAUCCCUUCCACUGAGAAGCUCAAGGUCCUUCAGUUUCACAAUAACAUGACAGGUGAUGAAGGUGCAAUUGCUAUUGCUGACAUUGUGAAACUAUCUACUAUGUUGGAGGAUUUUCGAUGUUCUUCAACAAGGAUUGGCUCAGAUGGUGGUGUUGUAUUGGCUGGAGCACUUGGAAAAUGUAGUCAUUUGAGGAAGCUUGAUCUGCGUGACAAUAUGUUUGGGGUGGAAGCUGGACUUGCUUUGAGUAAGUCUCUUGUUGCAUUUGGAGAUCUUACUGAGGUUUACCUCAGUUAUCUAAAUUUGGAGGAUGACGGGGCAGAAGCACUUGCCAACGCUCUAAAAGAGUCUGCACCUUCACUUGAAGUUCUUGAAAUGGCUGGUAAU
Molecule: unclassified non-coding RNA, 429 nt
Filed under: Hevea brasiliensis (rubber tree)
Lineage: Eukaryota; Viridiplantae; Streptophyta; Magnoliopsida; Malpighiales; Euphorbiaceae
Source: RNAcentral